Molecule: ribosomal RNA, 431 nt
Filed under: uncultured bacterium
Lineage: Bacteria
Description: bacterial SSU rRNA
Rfam family: Bacterial small subunit ribosomal RNA
Source: RNAcentral
AACGAACGCUGGCGGCAGGCUUAACACAUGCAAGUCGAGCGCCUCGCAAGGGGAGCGGCAGACGGGUGAGUAACGCGUGGGAAACUACCCUUUGGUACGGAAUAACACAGAGAAAUUUGUGCUAAUACCGUAUGAGCCCUUCGGGGGAAAGAUUUAUCGCCAUAGGAUGUGCCCGCGUAGGAUUAGCUAGUUGGUGUGGUAAUGGCGCACCAAGGCGAUGAUCCUUAGCUGGUCUGAGAGGAUGAUCAGCCACACUGGGACUGAGACACGGCCCAGACUCCUACGGGAGGCAGCAGUGGGGAAUAUUGGACAAUGGGCGCAAGCCUGAUCCAGCCAUGCCGCGUGAGUGAUGAAGGCCUUAGGGUUGUAAAGCUCUUUCACCCACGACGAUAAUGACGGUAGUGGGAGAAGAAGCCCCGGCUAACUUCGUG